Long non-coding RNA from Mus musculus (house mouse), 682 nucleotides. RefSeq annotates it as predicted gene, 39264. The record is from RefSeq and is a predicted model, not a curated record. NCBI's taxonomy places the organism in Eukaryota, Metazoa, Chordata, Mammalia, Rodentia, Muridae. The transcript has 2 exons.
ACAUGUUUAUGCAUGCAUGUGUGUAUAUGCAGGACAUGUGUAUUUGCAAGUGCAUGCAUAUGUGCUUGCCUGCAUGUGCCCAGUGUGCUCUUGCUUAUGCAUGCAUGUGUGCACGUGUGUGCAUUUUAUAUGCACCUGUGGGCACAGGCAUCACAGGACACCAGUCAUUCUGCUCUAUCCCUCUCUACCUUAUUCCUUUGAGACAGGGUCUCUCACUGAACCUGGAGCUUAGCUGACAGCCAGCAAAAGCCCUGCAGUCCUCCUCCACUGCCACCACAGAGGUUGCGGUCCCCACAGCAGCCCAUGAAGGGCACGUCCACUAUCACCACCCAGGUGAGACCCGGGGUUGAGAGAUGUGCGCUUGGACUGACAGCCACGGACUCUGGGCUCUCACUUUUUACUGUCACCCUGCCCAGGAGGCUCCUGGCCUGGAAUGCCUGUCCUCAAAAUGAGAAACAGCAGUUCUGAACUCGCCCGGUCACCUCUGGAAGUAGGGACACCCACCUCGGGACAUGAAGACUCUUCCUCGGUCAGAGCCUUGAGAUGAACCUGAACUUGCGGGGCAGACCCUGUCAACCGUGCUCUGUGCCAGGUGCCUGUUACCCCAAAUGAGAGGACAGACAGACAGAUCACAGACUGUUUUUUCUGGGUCCAGGGACCAAAAUAAAAGACAUCAGAGGGA